Molecule: ribosomal RNA, 468 nt
Filed under: uncultured bacterium
Lineage: Bacteria
Description: partial 16S ribosomal RNA
Rfam family: Bacterial small subunit ribosomal RNA
Source: RNAcentral
GACGAACGCUGGCGGCGUGCUUAACACAUGCAAGUCGAACGGAAAGGCCCUGCUUUUGUUGGCUGCUCGAGUGGCGAACGGGUGAGUAACACGUGAGUAACCUGCCCUUGACUUUGGGAUAACUUCAGGAAACUGUGGCUAAUACCGGAUAGGAGCUCCUGCUGCAUGGUGUGGGCUGGAAAGUUUCGGCGGUUUGGGAUGGACGUGCGGCUUAUGAGCUUGUUGGUGUGGUAGUGGCGUACCAAGGCUUUGACGGGUAGCCGGACUGAGAGGGUGACCGGCCACAUUGGGACUGAGGUAGGGCCAAGACGCAUACGGGAGGAAGCAGUGGGGAAUAUUGCAAAAUGGGCGGAAGGCUGAUGGAGCAACGCCGCGUGCUGGAUGACGGCCGUCGGGGUGUAAACCGCUUUCGCCUGUGACGAAGCGUGAGUGACGGUAAUGGGUAAAGAAGCACCGGCUAACUACGUG